RNAcentral lists this ribosomal RNA (520 nucleotides) under uncultured Glomus. RNAcentral's name for it is "SSU rRNA". It matches the Rfam family "Eukaryotic small subunit ribosomal RNA", at positions 569 to 1091 of the family's 1831-position model. Lineage: Eukaryota; Fungi; Glomeromycota; Glomeromycetes; Glomerales; Glomeraceae. The record is from RNAcentral.
AGCAGCCGCGGUAAUUCCAGCUCCAAUAGCGUAUAUUAAAGUUGUUGCAGUUAAAAAGCUCGUAGUUGAAUUUCGGGAUCAAUAUGUCGGUCGUGCCUUCGGUACGUACUGGUAUCAUUGGUCUCUCCUUUCUGACGAACCAUGAUGUCAUUAAUUUGGUGUUAUGGGGAGUUAGGACUGUUACUUUGAAAAAAUUAGAGUGUUUAAAGCAGGCUUUAGCUUGAAUACAUUAGCAUGGAAUAAUGAAAUAGGACGUUCGAACCUAUUUUGUUGGUUUCUAGGAUCAACGUAAUGAUUAAUAGGGAUAGUUGGGGGCAUUAGUAUUCAAUUGUCAGGGGUGAAAUUCUUGGAUUUAUUGAAGACUAACUACUGCGAAAGCAUUUGCCAAGGAUGUUUUCAUUAAUCAAGAACGAAAGUUAGGGGAUCGAAGACGAUCAGAUACCGUCGUAGUCUUAACCAUAAACUAUGCCGACUGGGGAUCGGAUGAUGUUAAUUUUUAAUGACUCAUUCGGCGCCUUAC